UGAAUAUGCAUCAAACGACACUGCUCUGGCAACUGAAGGAAUCAAAGGAAGGUUCAGGAGCCGCUUAUCAUUGGAUAAUAGCCUCAGGCCCCACGUACCUUUUCCGGCAACUACUUCCGUCGCUUUAUGAGAACGUUCAGGAAGUGCUAUCUAACCAUGUUCAACUCUUCUCUGAUAUCUCCGCUCGCCGCAAUCGCAUAUCCAAUAAAAUGACUUAGGUGUAAAAGGAACAGCUAGAUUGACCAAUAAAGCAUCAUCUCCCUUUUUCA
Molecule: long non-coding RNA, 269 nt
Organism: Galeopterus variegatus (Sunda flying lemur)
Lineage: Eukaryota; Metazoa; Chordata; Mammalia; Dermoptera; Cynocephalidae
Exons: 2
Source: RefSeq, a predicted model, not a curated record